GAAAAAGUAUGCAAGAACUGCUAAUUCUAUGCCCCCAUGUCUGACAACAUGGCUUUUUCA
RNAcentral lists this transfer RNA (60 nucleotides) under Sylvicapra grimmia (bush duiker). Its description in RNAcentral is "tRNA-Ser". Lineage: Eukaryota; Metazoa; Chordata; Mammalia; Artiodactyla; Bovidae. The record is from RNAcentral.